CUGGGUGAAAGCUCUUCCCGUGGGAUGGUCACGUGUCCUCGGGGAGUGUGUGUUACUCUAGGAGCCUGUCGGAGGGGGAAUAUGGUCCACAGCCGAGCACGCGCGCACGGGGGCCAGUGAGAGCGCGAGAGAGAAAGCAGAGCGACCAGCUCUCCAGCAGGCGCCUUUUUUAUUUUCACGACAGCAGCUGGGAGAAGCGCGCGAGGGGAGCUCCACGCUGCGCUCGCUCAACUUUCGGUGAAACGGCAGCGCGAGCCUCUACGCGCGUCUACGCUGGAGCGAGCGGAGGAUCGUCCGUCCGUGCGCGCGUGUGAGGUGGGAAGAAGAAAGUUUGAGCACCUGGGAGAAAACCUAUGUGGACACAACAAGAACAAACCAAAAUCCUCCCAGACAGAGACCACAGUGAGGUUCAAACCCACAACCAGCAGAGACACUACCUGCUGCAUCACUACCACGCCACCCAGAUUUAACCUUCUGAACAGUAGGUUUAUUAUUAUGUUAUUAAUUAUGUUAUUAAUGCUUAAUACUUAAAUUACUAUGAACAUGUAAAUAUGAGUUUAGCAUAUGUUUUGGAGUCUCACGGGGUUCUAUUUUAGGGUCUAGGAAACUGUAAAAAAAUGUUAAUAAUGGGAGUAAUGAUGUUAUGCUGUACGUAGGGCUGCAACGAUUAGUCGAUAUAAUUGACAUUAUUGUCGAUUAUUUAAAUUUGUCGAAUACAAAUUACACUGUCAACUAAUCAUUAAUUUGUAACAGUACCGCAGUACACAAAGUGCUGGGGAUAGAGUCUCCAAAAGUGCCCAAACACAACAGAUUACAUAUUUAAAUCACUAAAUAUCAGUACUUUCUAUGUUUAAACAACAUCUAGACUGUAAGGGGUCGGCCA
Molecule: long non-coding RNA, 883 nt
Filed under: Astyanax mexicanus (Mexican tetra)
Lineage: Eukaryota; Metazoa; Chordata; Actinopteri; Characiformes; Acestrorhamphidae
Description: lncRNA (ENSAMXG00005004014.1)
Source: RNAcentral